CCUCAACAAUAGUCAUUAUGAAAUAGACCCCUCAACUUCAAUUUUCGGCAAAUGCUGCUUGCAUAGACUUAGUUUGGUAUUGAGAUCUAUCUGACGCUGUUAGAUAAAAUGGAUUUAGGGUUCAUAGAAAAUAUAUCAUAAUCGACUCAUCGUGAUAUGCGGAACGUAAUAUUAUAUACGAAAACAAACAGAAUAUUUUUUCGUCGUACUUUCUUACAGUACAUAUAAAACGCAAUCUCCUCGUAAUCUCAAACAAAGCUAUACUCCUGUUUAGAGUGUACAUCUUAUGUACACUUUGGCCAUCUAAUGAUUC
Molecule: long non-coding RNA, 313 nt
Filed under: Ananas comosus (pineapple)
Lineage: Eukaryota; Viridiplantae; Streptophyta; Magnoliopsida; Poales; Bromeliaceae
Description: long non-coding RNA (ACOM_LNC016363)
Source: RNAcentral